AGAGUUUGAUCCUGGCUCAGAAUGAACGCUGGCGGCAUGGAUUAGGCGUGCAAGUCGAACGUGAAGCUCCAGCUUGCUGGAGUGGAAGGUGGCGAAAGGGUGAGUAACCCGUGAGCAACCUGCCCGAAAGCCCGGGAUAGCCCAGGGAAACCUGGAUUAAUACCGGAUGUGGUCAUCAUAUCGCAUGAUGAGGUGACUAAAGUUUUUUCGCUUUCGGAUGGGCUCGCGCACCAUCAGCUAGUUGGUAAGGUAAUGGCUUACCAAGGCUACGACGGUUAGGUGGUCUGAGAGGACGAUCACCCACACUGGGACUGAGACACUGCCCAGACUCCUACGGGAGGCUGCAGUCGAGAAUCUUCCGCAAUGCGCGAAAGCGUGACGGAGCGAUGCCGCGUGCAGGAUGAAGGCCUUCGGGUCGUAAACUGCUGUCACUCGGGACGAAUUUUGACGGUACCGAGAGAGGAAGCACCGGCUAACUACGUGCCAGCAGCCGCGGUAAUACGUAGGGUGCGAGCGUUAUUCGGAUUUAUUGGGCGUAAAGGGUUCGUAGGCGGUGAGGUAAGUUUGAUGUGAAAUCUCAGGGCUCAACCCUGAAACUGCAUUGGAUACUGCUUCACUUGAGUAUUGGAGAGGUAAGCGGAAUUCCUGGUGUAGCGGUGGAAUGCGUAGAUAUCAGGAGGAACACCGAUGGCGAAGGCAGCUUACUGGACAAUUACUGACGCUGAGGAACGAAAGCUAGGUUAGCUAACAGGAUUAGAUACCCUGGUAGUCCUAGCCGUAAACGUUGUUCACUAGAUGUAGGCGGAUUGGUCCCGUCUGUGUCCAAGCUAACGUGAUAAGUGAACCGCCUGGGGAGUACGGCCGCAAGGCUAAAACUCAAAGGAAUUGACGGGGGCCCGCACAAGCGGUGGAGCAUGUGGCUUAAUUCGAUUCGACGCGAAGAACCUUACCUGGACUUGAAAUAUACGGGACCGCCCUAGAAAUAGGGUUUCUGCUUGCAGUCCGUAUACAGAUGCUGCAUGGCUGUCGUCAGCUCGUGCCGUGAGGUGAGGUUAAGUCCGGCAACGAGCGCAACCCACGUCAGUAGUUGCCAUCAGGUAAUGCUGGGAACUCUACUGAGACUGCCCGUGUCAAGCGGGAGGAAGGCGUGGACGACGUCAAGUCAGUAUGGCUCUUACGUCCAGGGCUGCACACGUGCUACAAUGGCUGGUACAAUGGGUCGCCACCCCGCGAGGGGGAGCCAAUCUCCAAAACCAGCCCCAGUUCGGAUCGCAGUCUGCAACUCGACUGCGUUAAGUCGGAAUCGCUAGUAAAGGCGUAUCAGCAACGACGCCUUGAAUACGUUCCCGGGCCUUGUACACACCGCCCGUCACAUCAUGGAAGCCUGUUGCACCCGAAGUCACCGACCCAACCCGCAAGGGAGGGAGGUGCCGAAGGAGUGGCCGGUAACUGGGAUGAAGUCGUAACAAGGUA
This 1473-nucleotide ribosomal RNA is filed under the name metagenome. RNAcentral describes it as "bacterial SSU rRNA". It matches the Rfam family "Bacterial small subunit ribosomal RNA". The record is from RNAcentral.